RNAcentral lists this ribosomal RNA (253 nucleotides) under uncultured bacterium. RNAcentral's name for it is "partial 16S ribosomal RNA". It matches the Rfam family "Bacterial small subunit ribosomal RNA", at positions 524 to 776 of the family's 1533-position model. The record is from RNAcentral.
UACAGAGGUCUCAAGCGUUGUUCGGAUUCAUUGGGCGGAAAGGGUGCGUAGGCGGCGCGGUAAGUCGGGUGUGAAAUCUCGGAGCUUAACUCCGAAACUGCAUUCGAUACUGCCGUGCUUGAGGACUGGAGAGGAGACUGGAAUUUACGGUGUAGCGGUGAAAUGCGUAGAUAUCGUAAGGAAGACCAGUGGCGAAGGCGGGUCUCUGGACAGUUCCUGACGCUGAGGCACUAAGGCCAGGGGAGCAAUCGGG